Molecule: ribosomal RNA, 3159 nt
Filed under: Triticum aestivum (bread wheat)
Lineage: Eukaryota; Viridiplantae; Streptophyta; Magnoliopsida; Poales; Poaceae
Description: partial small subunit ribosomal RNA
Source: RNAcentral
UGUAAAUGUGUUUUUAAACACCUGGGCCAUGAGCCAGCUGAGCAUCCAACGCACGCUUCACAACACAUGCACCACCAUCCGGCAAAACCACGCAGAAAUGGCUCCCGUACUGUGGUGCUCCCCGGCCGAGCAGAGACUUGUGACGAGUGCCAAAUGCGUUCUCCCAAGCAACUGGCGAAGCUCGCCAUGCUUUUACUGCUGGCGUUGCUGCUGCUCUGCAAUGGAGUUCGCAACGUUCAUUGCUCAAGGAUCCACGAGAAUAGCGUCGAUCUGCACUCGCUAAUUGAGUUCAACAAGAGCAUCACCGACGAUCCUCAAGGAGCCUUGAGUAACUGGGACACCACAACCCACUUCUGCCACUGGAAUGGUGUCAACUGCACCACGACACCACCGUUCCGUGUCAAGCAGCUUAAACUCAGCGGCUGGAACUUAGGAGGCCAAAUCACCUCCUCUCUUGGAAACUUAAAUUUCCUUGAAACGCUUGACCUUUCAUACAAUAACUUCGUUGGCCCCUUGCCUAUCCUUGGCAAUCUCCAACGAUUGCAGACACUUUAUCUGUACCACAACCGUUUAAAUGGGAUGAUUCCUGAUUCAAUUACCAAUUGUUCCAACUUGGCCAACUUAGAUCUCUCUGUAAACUUGCUAGUGGGUCAAAUUCCUCCCAAACUAGACUUACUUUCGAAACUGUUCUACUUGGAUCUCUCUGGAAACUCACUAGUGGGUCAAAUUCCUCCGAGAUUAGGCUUUCUUAAAAAUCUAGAAUAUCUCUAUCUUGGAUCAAACCAACUCGAGGGGAGCAUUCCUGAUGAGCUUGGGCAAUUGCUGCAAUUGGAACAGCUGCUCCUAGGCAACAAUAAGCUUACAGGUGAAUUCCCAGCCAUCUUGAACUCUUUAGGUUCACUCAAAUAUUUAGGCUUGGGGUCCAAUAUGCUACGCAAUGCAUUGCCAACUAAUAUUGGCGACCGUCUGCCUAAUCUCAUUGAACUUACCUUGGCUGGUAACAUGUUUGAAGGUAACAUCCCAGCUUCCCUAGGCAGCGCUCAAGGUUUAGAACUGAUAGAUUUAUCAAAUAACAGUUUCACUGGGAUAAUUCCUACUUCUUUUCGAAAUCUUUCAAGUCUGACUAUUCUAAACCUUGAGUAUAACCAGCUUGAAACAAGGGACAACAGAGACUGGGAAUUCUUAAAUGCAUUGACAAAUUGUCGAUCCCUAAAGAAACUAUCACUCUCUUACAAUCAGCUCCAGGGACCUAUUCCCCAGUCCGUUGGUAAUCUAUCCCCCAGCCUUGAGAGUCUUCGGCUGACUGGAAACAACUUGUCUGGACAAGUACCCCAGAGCAUCAGAAAACUUAAUGCCUUAACUCAACUUGCACUAGGCGAAAACUAUUUAAGUGGUAGAGUCGAAGGAUGGGUUGGAAACCUAACUUCCCUUCAAUUACUAAAUCUCAAUGACAAUGAAUUCGAUGGCCUGAUACCAGCUAGCUUAGGAAACCUUCCACUCUCGAAGCUAGACCUUGGCUAUAACAAUCUCCAAGGGCAUAUACCACCAAACUUUUGGAACCUCCAAGAACUAACAAUAUUGAACGUCGGCCACAAUAAUCUUCAAGGUGCCAUUCCUGAGAUUGGUACCCUUAAACACCUCACCACAUUAGAUCUUUCUUCAAAUAUGCUUACCGGACAAAUUCCUGAUUCUUUGGGCCAAUGUUACGACUUAGUGAGUCUACAAAUGGACCAAAACUCUCUUAUCGGAAACAUCCCAGCAACUUUUGGCAACCUGUCGUCUCUGAGCAUGCUAAAUCUUUCACACAACAACUUGUCAGGCAACAUACCGACAGUUCUAAACACACUGAAGUUCCUCAACAGUCUUGACCUUUCUCAUAAUCAUCUUCAAGGAGAAAUACCCAUAUAUGGAGUGUUUGACAAUGCUACAGCCAUUUCACUUGAGGAUAAUUGGGGGCUCUGUGGAGGCGCCGUGUUUUUCCACAUGGCUUCAUGCAAAACCAUUUCCAAGCAAUCAGAGAGACGAAACCGUUUGAUUAAAGUGCUGAUCCCAAUAUUCGGGUUCAUGUCAGUCAUAUUGUUGGUCUACCUUUUACUCCUUGAGAAGAAGAUGCGAAGGAGGACAGAUGAUACAUCAACUUCACUAGGGGAGAACUUUAUGAAGGUUUCUUAUGCAGAUCUAGCACAAGCCACAGCAAACUUCUCGGAGUCUAACCUGGUUGGAAGAGGAGGUUAUGGUUCUGUGUAUAGAGGAAAGUUGAAGGAAUCUAAGGUGGAUGUGGCUGUCAAGGUUUUUGAUCUUGAGAUGCACGGAGCAGAGAAAAGCUUUCUGAAAGAAUGUGAGGCACUGCGAAGCAUUCAGCAUAGAAAUCUUCUUCCCAUCCUUACCGCUUGCUCGACAGUAGACAGUACAGGCAAUGUUUUCAAAGCUUUAGUUUAUGAGUUCAUGCCUAAUGGGAACCUAGACACAUGGCUGCAUCCCAGAGAGGACGGGAAGGCUCAUAAACAUUUAAGCUUAGCUCAAAGAUUAGACAUAGCUGUCAACAUGGCUGACGCACUGGAUUAUCUACACCAUGACUGCGGAAGACCCACCAUCCAUUGUGAUUUGAAGCCAAGCAAUAUUCUUCUUGAUGGUGAUAUGACUGCUCUUUUGGGAGACUUUGGAAUUGCAAGUUUCUACCAAGAUUCAUGGUCAACAUCAACCAGUUCAAUGAGUUCAUCAUCAGUCGGUGUGAAGGGUACUAUAGGAUAUAUUGCUCCAGAGUACGCCGGAGGUGGCCGCCGUGCAUCAACCACUGGAGAUGUUUAUGGUUUUGGGAUAAUACUGCUGGAAAUGAUGACUGGAAAAAGACCCACAGAUCCUAUGUUCAAGGAUGGAGUUAGCAUUGUCGACUUUGUGGAUAGCAACUUUCCACAUGAAAUAGUUCAUGUCAUUGACGUCAAUCUCAGCGAAGACUCAGGGGUUGACAUUACUCAAGCAAACAAGGCUUCAGAAAAUUAUGUUCGUGAAUGCUUGGUAUCUAUGCUGCAACUAGCACUUUCCUGUACGCACCCAGUACCAAGCGAACGAAUGAACAUGAAAGAGGUGGCCAGCAAAAUUCAUGCAAUUAAAACAUCAUAUGUGGGACGGAAAACAGAAGAGCGUCCUUCACUAGAGUAA